UACAGAGGCCUCGAGCGUUAGGCGGAAUCACUGGGCUUAAAGCGUGUGUAGGCGGACUUCUAAGUACCUUGUGAAAUCCCACGGCUUACCCGUGGAGCUGCUCGGUAUACUGGUUGUCUUGAGCCACCUAGGGGCGAGUGGAACAAAUGGUGGAGCGGUGAAAUGCGUAGAUAUCAUUUGGAACGCCAAUGGUGAAAACAACUCGCUGGGGGUGUGCUGACGCUGAGACACGAAAGCCAGGGGAGCGAACGGG
RNAcentral lists this ribosomal RNA (253 nucleotides) under uncultured bacterium. Its description in RNAcentral is "partial 16S ribosomal RNA". It matches the Rfam family "Bacterial small subunit ribosomal RNA", at positions 524 to 776 of the family's 1533-position model. The record is from RNAcentral.